Molecule: long non-coding RNA, 326 nt
Filed under: Citrus maxima (pomelo)
Lineage: Eukaryota; Viridiplantae; Streptophyta; Magnoliopsida; Sapindales; Rutaceae
Description: long non-coding RNA (CMAX_LNC003503)
Source: RNAcentral
UUGGUCCCAUUUUGCUACUGUGUCGGCUCUAACAGUAGCUAUUGGUCUUUAAGAGGGGCCAUGAAGUUCACCUUUUACCAUUGCAGUGGUCUUGGCUUGCAUUGUAUGUUCUUUCCUAACUUUAUUGGUUGUCUCUUAUGGACACGUGUGUAGUAGUGCGUGUGUGUGAGUGAAUGUAUAUAUGAUCAUCAAUUUCAAUAAAACAUGCAUUAUAUAUGAUAAUUUUUCAGCUUAUUGAAUAAUUACUUCUUAGUCUUGACUUCCUUUCUCUAUUUUUUGUUCCUUUUUCUUUUCAGGAAAAAUAUACACAUUAUCUUAUAUUCAUC